Neltuma alba is the source of this 475-nucleotide long non-coding RNA. RefSeq lists it as uncharacterized. Lineage: Eukaryota; Viridiplantae; Streptophyta; Magnoliopsida; Fabales; Fabaceae. The transcript is spliced from 3 exons. The record is from RefSeq and is a predicted model, not a curated record.
AUGUCCAGUUCAAGUUUUCUCUGCUUUUCAUGAAUGCUCCAAGAACUUCACUGAAACGAAGAACAACAGCUUCUCCUAGUGAACCAGCCAAGAAGUUCAACCAAGAAUUUUAUGAGGAAGCUUAAGGCAACUGAUAAGAAGAAUUAAACACAUCACAUUUCUCAUUUGGGUAACAACAUAAUGAUGGUGGCUCCAAUAUGACAUGUGUUGGAAUUUGGACUUCUAUGGGUAUCAGAAAUACUCCAUGAAUGUAAUCCUUCGUUCACUCAUCACUGCAACCUUUGGAGGUAAUGAUGUAGUUUAAAUUAUUGAAUGUUUAUUUCUGUAUUUCAGUAAUUGAUAUAGGGAUAUUGAUGGUAUUGUUCCUUAUUAAUAUUUUUUCGGUUCUUAAUGUAAGACCUAAUUAACUAAUUAGAGCAGAUUAAGGAUGUUAAUUAAAUUAGUUAAUAUGAUAUGUUUUUCUAAACAACCUAAU